CGCAGCACUGACUGCAGGCCAGAACGGAGUCAUUUGCAGAACCACCCGAAAGAAGAAAUAAAUAAUAAAGUGUAAAGUUAAAUAGCGGGCCAGCAGCACAAGCAGCCGGACAGACGGUGAAGCAGGUGGGAAGAGAGUCGUCGUGAAAGACUCAGAGUACACAGGGACAGUAGCAGGCAGGCGAGGAGGAGGAAGAGUCGUAAGGCCACAGGAGUAAGUUACGCUGAUGUCCGAUGAUCACCGCUCAAUUCUUGAUGUGCCAGUGGGGAUUGUGAUAGUUGAAGAUGGGACGACUCUUAAGCACCUCAACUCUCUGCAUUCGUCUCCCUCUUCGAUUGGAAUAGUAAUCGAGGGAAAAUUAGUGAUGGACAAUCUACAUGACCUUCCUGAAGCAAUGUGCCUUAUGUUCGGACUAAUUUAUGCAUUGCACCUGAGUUACCCAAAGUCGCUGAGAUACACGUUUGACUUCAUUCAGCACAUUCUACUUUCCUUGGGGCAGAAAGACCUGCAGCCUAAAACACAGACUUAAAAAUGCAGCUUACUGUUAAAAAUAUGCCCUUAAAGUGCUGUUCAAGUGUCUUAAUGUGACUUAAAAAUAUGAGC
Molecule: long non-coding RNA, 603 nt
Organism: Cyprinus carpio (common carp)
Lineage: Eukaryota; Metazoa; Chordata; Actinopteri; Cypriniformes; Cyprinidae
Exons: 4
Source: RefSeq, a predicted model, not a curated record